RNAcentral lists this transfer RNA (66 nucleotides) under Labiotermes sp. BRA008. RNAcentral's name for it is "tRNA-Gly". Lineage: Eukaryota; Metazoa; Arthropoda; Insecta; Blattodea; Termitidae. The record is from RNAcentral.
ACUUAUUUAAUACAAAAAAGUAUAAUUGACUUCCAAUCAAGAAAUUUGUGAAAAACAAAAUAGGUA